This 1325-nucleotide ribosomal RNA is filed under the name human metagenome. Its description in RNAcentral is "bacterial LSU rRNA". It matches the Rfam family "Bacterial large subunit ribosomal RNA", at positions 1100 to 2438 of the family's 2925-position model. The record is from RNAcentral.
GUUGGCUUGGAAGCAGCCAUUCAUUUAAAGAGUGCGUAACAGCUCACUAGUCGAGGAGUUUGGCGUGGAUAAUAAUCGGGCAUUAAGUGUUUUACCGAAGCUAUGGGAUCAGUAAUGAUCGGUAGGGGAGCAUUCCACUCUGCGUCGAAGGUGAAGCGUGAGCUUUGCUGGAGCGUGUGGAAAAGCAAAUGUAGGUAUAAGUAACGAUAAAGGGGGUGGGAAACCCCCUCGCCGAAAGACUAAGGUUUCCUGAUCAACGCUAAUCGGAUCAGGGUCAGUCGGGUCCUAAGGCUCAGCCGAACGGCGAUGCCGAUGGCAGAAACGGGUAAUAUUCCGUUACUACCUUCAGGAGUGACGUGGAGACGCAGUAGGGACAGUGCCGCCAUCUGACGGAAUAGAUGGUUGAAGGGUGUAGGAGUCGAUCAUGGCAGGCAAAUCCACCAUGAGAUCCGAACCUGAUAGUAUGCCGCGUCCUUCGGGACAAGGCAAUAGUGCGCGUAAGCAUGCUGCCGAGAAAAUCCGCUAAACUUAAUCCUGCAGGUACCCGUACCGCAAACGGACACACGUAGUCGGGUUGAAUAUACUAAGGCGCUUGAGUGAUUCACGGUUAAGGAACUAGGCAAACUGACCCUGUAACUUCGGGAUAAAGGGUCCCUACCCUUUUAUGGGAGGGCGCAGAGAAUCGGUCCAGGCAACUGUUUAACAAAAACACAGGGCUGUGCCAAAUCGAAAGAUCCAGUAUACAGCCUGACACCUGCCCGGUGCUGGAAGGUUAAGAGGAGAUGUCAUCGAUAAGAGAAGCGUUGAAUUGAAGCCCCAGUAAACGGCGGCCGUAACUAUAACGGUCCUAAGGUAGCGAAAUUCCUUGUCGGGUAAGUUCCGACCUGCACGAAUGGUGUAAUGAUCUGGACGCUGUCUCAACCGUGAGCUCAGUGAAAUUGUAGUAUCGGUGAAGAUGCCGAUUACCCGCGAUGGGACGAAAAGACCCCGUGAACCUUUACUAUAGCUUAUCAUUGAAUCUGGGCACGUGAUGUGUAGGAUAGGUCGGAGGCUUUGAAGCAGGUACGCCAGUAUUUGUGGAGCCGCUGUUGAAAUACGACCCUUUAUUUGUUUGGAUUCUAACCCGUGGAUACGGGGACAUUGAUUGGUGGGUAGUUUGACUGGGGUGGUCGCCUCCAAAAGCGUAACGGAGGCUUCUAAAGGUGCCCUCCGGCCGAUUGGUAACCGGCCUUAGAGUGUAAUGGCAUAAGGGCGCUUGACUGGGAGACUGACAAGUCGAUCAGGUAGGAAACUAGAGCAUAGUGAUCCGGUGUUUCCGUAUGGAA